This 305-nucleotide ribosomal RNA is filed under the name uncultured bacterium. RNAcentral's name for it is "bacterial SSU rRNA". It matches the Rfam family "Bacterial small subunit ribosomal RNA", at positions 337 to 639 of the family's 1533-position model. The record is from RNAcentral.
GCCUACGGGGCGCAGCAGUGAGGAAUAUUGGUCAAUGGGAGAGAUCCUGAACCAGCCAAGCCGCGUGAGGGAAGACGGCCCUAUGGGUUGUAAACCUCUUUUGUCGGAGAACAAAACCCGGGACGAGUCCCGGACUGCGUGUAUCCGAAGAAAAAGCAUCGGCUAACUCCGUGCCAGCAGCCGCGGUAAUACGGAGGAUGCGAGCGUUAUCCGGAUUUACUGGGUGUAAAGGGCGUGUAGGCGGGCCUGCAAGUCAGAAGUGAAAUCUGGGGGCUUAACCCCCAAACUGCUUUUGAAACUGUGGG